Molecule: ribosomal RNA, 580 nt
Filed under: Austropotamobius torrentium (stone crayfish)
Lineage: Eukaryota; Metazoa; Arthropoda; Malacostraca; Decapoda; Astacidae
Description: partial 12S ribosomal RNA
Source: RNAcentral
UCCGCGGUUAGACUUGGGGGCUAAAUAAAAUUUAUUAGUUAAAGUUAAUUGAAUUAAAUUUAAAUUAGAGUUUAUGUUAAUAAAAAGUGAAAUUAGGUUAUAAAAUAUAAAAUUUUAUUUAAUUAUAGGUGUGAUGAAGCUUAAAAAGUUGGGGUAUGAAUUAGGAUUAGAUACCCUAGUACACUUAAAUUUAACUGUAAAAUACUAGGAUACUAGAAGUUAUAUUCUUUAAAUUUAAAGAAUUUGGCGGUACUUUAGUCUAGUUAGAGGAACCUGUCUCCUAAACGAUAAUACACGCAUUAUCUUACUUAUUUUAGUAGAUCAGCCUGUAUACCGUCAUUAUAAGAUAAUUUAAGAGAGAAUAUUAUUAAAAUCAUAUUAUAUGAGUAUAUUAGAUCAAGGUGCAGCUAAUGAAUAAGAAGAGGUGGGUUACAAUAAAAUUUAUUUACACGGAUUUAAUAUUUAAAUAUAUUAGUGAAGGGGGAUUUAAUUGUAAAAGGAAAUUAAUAAGGUUUUUUGAUAGGAGCUCUAAAUUAUGUACAUAUCGCCCGUCGCUUUCAUUUAAGGUGAGAUAAGUCGU